GACGAACGCUGGCGGCGUGCUUAACACAUGCAAGUCGAACGAUGAAGCUGGAGCUUGCUCCGGUGGAUUAGUGGCGAACGGGUGAGUAACACGUGAGUAAUCUGCCCUUGACUCUGGGAUAACUGCGGGAAACUGUAGCUAAUACCGGAUACGACACCUUCGGGCAUCCGAUUGGUGUGGAAAGAAUUUCGGUCAAGGACGAACUCGCGGCCUAUCAGCUAGUUGGUGAGGUAAUGGCUCACCAAGGCGACGACGGGUAGCCGGCCUGAGAGGGUGGCCGGCCACACUGGGACUGAGACACGGCCAAGAAUCCUACGGGAGGCAGCAGUGGGGAAUAUUGCACAAUGGGCGAAAGCCUGAUGCAGCAACGCCGCGUGAGGGAUGAAGGCCUUCGGGUUGUAAACCUCUUUUAGUUGGGAAGAAGCGAAAGUGACGGUACCAACAGAAAAAGCACCGGCUAACUACGUGCCAGCCGCCGCGGUAA
This 484-nucleotide ribosomal RNA is filed under the name uncultured bacterium. RNAcentral describes it as "partial 16S ribosomal RNA". It matches the Rfam family "Bacterial small subunit ribosomal RNA", at positions 28 to 523 of the family's 1533-position model. The record is from RNAcentral.